Transfer RNA from Camelus ferus (Wild Bactrian camel), 72 nucleotides. It matches the Rfam family "tRNA". Rfam says of the family: Transfer RNA (tRNA) molecules are approximately 80 nucleotides in length. Their secondary structure includes four short double-helical elements and three loops (D, anti-codon, and T loops). Further hydrogen bonds mediate the characteristic L-shaped molecular structure. tRNAs have two regions of fundamental functional importance: the anti-codon, which is responsible for specific mRNA codon recognition, and the 3' end, to which the tRNAs corresponding amino acid is attached (by aminoacyl-tRNA synthetases). tRNAs cope with the degeneracy of the genetic code in two manners: having more than one tRNA (with a specific anti-codon) for a particular amino acid; and 'wobble' base-pairing, i.e. permitting non-standard base-pairing at the 3rd anti-codon position. Lineage: Eukaryota; Metazoa; Chordata; Mammalia; Artiodactyla; Camelidae. The record is from Rfam.
GAGGGUAUAGCUCAGUGGUAGAGUGCCUGCCUAGCAUGCACAAUGUCUUGGGUUCAAUCCUCAGUACCUCCA